This 445-nucleotide ribosomal RNA is filed under the name uncultured bacterium. RNAcentral's name for it is "partial 16S ribosomal RNA". It matches the Rfam family "Bacterial small subunit ribosomal RNA", at positions 354 to 796 of the family's 1533-position model. The record is from RNAcentral.
GUAGGGAAUAUUGGUCAAUGGACGAAAGUCUGAACCAGCCAUUCCGCGUGCAGGAAGAAGAUUCUAUGGAUUGUAAACUGCUUUUAGCAGAGAAGAAACGCCUUCAUUGAUGAGGGUUUGACGGUAUCUGCGGAAUAAGCACCGGCUAACUCCGUGCCAGCAGCCGCGGUAAUACGGGGGGUGCAAGCGUUAUCCGGAAUCACUGGGUUUAAAGGGUGCGUAGGCGGGAAAUUAAGUCAGUGGUGAAAGUCUGUUGCUUAACGAUAGAAUUGCCGUUGAUACUGAUUUGCUUGAAUUGGGUUGAGGUUAGCGGAAUGUGACAUGUAGCGGUGAAAUGCAUAGAUAUGUCAUGGAACACCAAUUGCGAAGGCAGCUAGCUGGGCCUUGAUUGACGCUGAGGCACGAAAGCGUGGGUAGCGAACAGGAUUAGAAACCCCUGUAGUCC